Molecule: ribosomal RNA, 253 nt
Filed under: uncultured microorganism
Description: partial 16S ribosomal RNA
Rfam family: Bacterial small subunit ribosomal RNA
Source: RNAcentral
UACGGAGGGGGCGAGCGUUGUUCGGAGUCACUGGGCGUAAAGCGCGCGUAGGCGGUGCGGUAAGUCAGGGGUUAAAGGCUGCAGCUCAACUGCAGUAAGGCCUUUGAUACUAUCGCGCUAGAGUACCAGAGAGGAUGGCGGAAUUCCCGGUGUAGCGGUGAAAUGCGUAGAUAUCGGGAGGAAGGCCGGUGGCGAAGGCGGCCUCCUGGGCCUGCACUGACGCUGAGGCGCGAAAGCGUGGGGAGCAAACAGG